AACCUAGCACACCUGCGGUGUGUACCUGCGGAGGGAUCAUUACCGAGUUUACAACUCCCAAACCCCUGUGAACAUACCUAUACGUUGCCUCGGCGGAUCAGCCCGCGCCCUGUAAAACGGGACGGCCCGCCCGAGGACCCUAAACUCUGUUUUUAGUGGAACUUCUGAGUAAAACAAACAAAUAAAUCAAAACUUUCAACAAUGGAUCU
This 209-nucleotide unclassified non-coding RNA is filed under the name soil metagenome. RNAcentral describes it as "partial contains 5.8S ribosomal RNA, internal transcribed spacer 2, and large subunit ribosomal RNA". The record is from RNAcentral.